Molecule: ribosomal RNA, 620 nt
Filed under: uncultured Pseudomonas sp.
Lineage: Bacteria; Pseudomonadati; Pseudomonadota; Gammaproteobacteria; Pseudomonadales; Pseudomonadaceae
Description: bacterial SSU rRNA
Rfam family: Bacterial small subunit ribosomal RNA
Source: RNAcentral
UCCCAGGCGUCGAGUGGCGGACGGGUGAGUAAUACUUAGGAAUCUGCCCAUUAGUGGGGGACAACUAGAAGAAAUUCUAGCUAAUACCGCAUACGCCCUACGGGGGAAAGCGGGGGAUCUUCGGACCUCGCGCUAAUGGAUGAGCCUAAGUCGGAUUAGCUUGUUGGUGAGGUAAUGGCUCACCCAGGCGACGAUCCGUAGCUGGUCUGAGAGGACGAUCAGCCACACUGGGACUGAGACACGGCCCAGACUCCUACGGGAGGCAGCAGUGGGGAAUAUUGGACAAUGGGCGCAAGCCUGAUCCAGCAAUGCCGCGUGUGUGAAGAAGGCCUGCGGGUUGUAAAGCACUUUCAGUAGAGAAGAAAAGCCUACGGUUAAUAACCGUGAGUCUUGACGUAACCUACAGAAGAAGCACCGGCUAACUCCGUGCCAGCAGCCGCGGUAAUACGGAGGGUGCGAGCGUUAAUCGGAAUUACUGGGCGUAAAGCGCGCGUAGGCGGCUUUGUCAGUCGGAUGUGAAAGCCCCGGGCUUAACCUGGGAAUUGCAUUCGAUACUGCAUGGCUAGAGUAUGGUAGAGGGAAGUGGAAUUCCGGGUGUAGCGGUGAAAUGCGUAGAUAUC